Molecule: ribosomal RNA, 391 nt
Filed under: Clinotarsus curtipes (bicolored frog)
Lineage: Eukaryota; Metazoa; Chordata; Amphibia; Anura; Ranidae
Description: partial 12S ribosomal RNA
Rfam family: Bacterial small subunit ribosomal RNA
Source: RNAcentral
UUAACUGGGAUUAGAUACCCCACUAUGCCCAGCCGUAAACAAUUAAUUUACAACAAUCAACGCCAGGGUACUACGAGCUAUGCUUAAAACCCAAAGGACUUGACGGUGUCCCACCCACCUAGAGGAGCCUGUUCUAUAAUCGAUAAUCCCCGAUUAACCUCACCAUUUCCUUGCCAAUCAGUCUGUAUACCUCCGUCGAAAGCUUACCAUGUGAAUGCCCACAGUAGGCCCAAGGAUCACCCAUCAACACGUCAGGUCAAGGUGCAACUUAUGGAGUGGUAAGUAAUAGGCUACAAUUUCUAAUAUAGAACAAACGAAAGAUUAUGUGAAAUCCUAAUCAUGAAGGCGGAUUUAGUAGUAAAAAGAAACUAGAGGUCUUACAGUCAGGCUG